Molecule: long non-coding RNA, 299 nt
Organism: Dreissena polymorpha
Lineage: Eukaryota; Metazoa; Mollusca; Bivalvia; Myida; Dreissenidae
Exons: 3
Source: RefSeq, a predicted model, not a curated record
CACCCUUUCAGUUAUUCGCUUUUACUAGUGUUAGAGUUGUGUCCCUUAGCCGGAUGUGACGUCAACGGGGGAUAGAAAUUCGCCAGAGAAAAUAAAAUUUUACUGUGUCGCUGAAGAAAUCAACGUCUUUAGCACAAUAUAUGCGAAUCAUCCCAAAUGCUAUGUUCAGAAACAGUGAAGUACCAUGGCUGAACCAGAUCCUGUAACAGAAAAGAAAGUACAACAGUACACGACUGUGAUUGUCAUAAGCUGUAUGCCAAGGAUGUCCCUGGCGCUGUUUUACCGCAACUUCAACCGAU